UGGGGAAUAUUGGACAAUGGGCGAAAGCCUGAUCCAGCAAUGCCGCGUGAGUGAUGAAGGCCUUAGGGUUGUAAAGCUCUUUUACCCGGGAAGAUAAUGACUGUACCGGGAGAAUAAGCCCCGGCUAACUCCGUGCCAGCAGCCGCGGUAAUACGGAGGGGGCUAGCGUUGUUCGGAAUUACUGGGCGUAAAGCGUACGUAGGCGGCUUUGUAAGUUAGAGGUGAAAGCCCGGGGCUCAACCCCGGAAUUGCCUUUAAGACUGCAUCGCUUGAACGUCGGAGAGGUGAGUGGAAUUCCGAGUGUAGAGGUGAAAUUCGUAGAUAUUCGGAAGAACACCAGUGGCGAAGGCGGCUCACUGGACGACUGUUGACGCUGAGGUACGAAAGCGUGGGGAGCAAACA
RNAcentral lists this ribosomal RNA (402 nucleotides) under uncultured Sphingomonas sp. RNAcentral's name for it is "bacterial SSU rRNA". It matches the Rfam family "Bacterial small subunit ribosomal RNA", at positions 355 to 774 of the family's 1533-position model. Lineage: Bacteria; Pseudomonadati; Pseudomonadota; Alphaproteobacteria; Sphingomonadales; Sphingomonadaceae. The record is from RNAcentral.